GACGUAGGGUGCGAGCGUUGUCCGGAUUUAUUGGGCGUAAAGAGCUCGUAGGCGGCUCGUCGCGUCGACCGUGAAAACCCGCGGCUUAACUGCGGGCUUGCGGUUGAUACGGGCAGGCUAGAGUUCGGUAGGGGAGACUGGAAUUCCUGGUGUAGCGGUGAAGUGCGCAGAUAUCAGGAGGAACACCGGUGGCGAAGGCGGGUCUCUGGGCCGAUACUGACGCUGAGGAGCGAAAGCGUGGGGAGCGAACAGG
This 253-nucleotide ribosomal RNA is filed under the name uncultured bacterium. Its description in RNAcentral is "partial 16S ribosomal RNA". It matches the Rfam family "Bacterial small subunit ribosomal RNA", at positions 524 to 776 of the family's 1533-position model. The record is from RNAcentral.